CCCAUACCAAGGAAAAAAGAUGGCAACCCUGCUGCAAAUUGUAUCAAGGGGAAUGUGCAGUGAGAAUCAUCACCAGAAACGUGACAAGCGACUUACCAUGUGGAUGAGUCUUCAGCAGGUGCUAUAAGACACUUCCACACUUAUCUUGGAGCAAGCCCCACUGAAUACAUCACAAGCAACAGCAAGAGCUAUCCUGGGCACUGAAAUCCCAUACCUGACCACUCGAAAUCAUAUACAGCAACUUCUCAAACUUUUGAGGUUUCACCAGGCAUUGCCUGCAUAUUUUCAAGCAUAUCUUCCCAAUCACAGGGCUAGAAACUUCUUUUUUGAAAUGAAAGCUAAGAUGCUUUAAAAGCUGAAUUCUGUUCCCAAAACCACAUUCAGUCUUUUCUGCAUAUAUAUGGAAUCAUGACAUAGAGAA
Molecule: long non-coding RNA, 421 nt
Organism: Hemicordylus capensis (graceful crag lizard)
Lineage: Eukaryota; Metazoa; Chordata; Lepidosauria; Squamata; Cordylidae
Exons: 3
Source: RefSeq, a predicted model, not a curated record